This 415-nucleotide ribosomal RNA is filed under the name uncultured bacterium. RNAcentral's name for it is "bacterial SSU rRNA". It matches the Rfam family "Bacterial small subunit ribosomal RNA", at positions 29 to 489 of the family's 1533-position model. The record is from RNAcentral.
AGCGAACGCUGGCGGCAGGCCUAAAACAUGCAAGUCGAACGCCGUAGCAAUACGGAGUGGCAGACGGGUGAGUAACACGUGGGAACGUGCCCUUUGGUUCGGAACAACACAGGGAAACUUGUGCUAAUACCGGAUAAGCCCUUACGGGGAAAGAUUUAUCGCCAAAGGAUCGGCCCGCGUCUGAUUAGCUAGUUGGUGAGGUAACGGCUCACCAAGGCUACGAUCAGUAGCUGGUCUGAGAGGAUGAUCAGCCACACUGGGACUGAGACACGGCCCAGACUCCUACGGGAGGCAGCAGUUAGGAAUCUUGGACAAUGGGCGCAAGCCUGAUCCAGCCAUGCCGCGUGAGUGAUGAAGGCCUUAGGGUUGUAAAGCUCUUUCGUCCGGGACGAUAAUGACGGUACCGGAAGAAGAA